GAAAGAGCGUAGAUUCAAAUAUAAACUUACCUAAUGAUACGCUCAAACUGUUCCUUCCAUUUUGGGACCAGGGAACAGAGCUCACUUAAUGCUGCUCUCCCACUGAUGAUGCCCACCCAUUCUCGGCCUGCAAGCCCUACCACUCACAGCUUCAAAAAUGGCUCCGCCCUUCCUGAUUCCACCCCACACAGAAGAAAGCAACUUCUUGUGAUGCUUCCUUAUUCUGGAUGUGGCUCACCUCUUACCCCUUCCAACUCCUUUGGGUCCCCUAGAAAGCCUCCCUGGCUAAGGGGUACAGGCCCUCUCCUCAGCAGUGGGCACUGACCGUCUAACCAGGGCUCUGUCUCGGCACCUGGUAGCAAGGACGGCAAGAUACAACAACAUGCUGAUUUUAAUAGCCUCUGGCUUUCUCCACUGCGUUUCUCACCUGAAUGCCCUGCACACCAAAUCUUCCAUGGGGUCACCCUUGACCUCUAGGGCAAUUCCCAAGAAUCUAGCAGAGGAGUGGGGGAAACCAAAAGGCUGACAUGAAGGACUCAAGGGAAGCCUCUGGAAAGAAGAGACCAGACACUAAAAGGGAUGUGUGUGAAAUACUGGUUUUUAUUGGUUGGCACAAGAUUACAACCUACAAUUUCAAUGCCCUUCCCUCCCACACAGCUCAAAUGGAAGGAAACUGAUUAACACAUAGAAAGGAACGGCAGGCUCACAGGUUUAAGCAUUUGUUUUUACAAAAAGGAGUGGGAUAUGGGGGUGGUCAAGUUUUACGGGUAAUAACAACAUUCUCUCUAGAUGGCAGGGGGUAAGUCUGCCUGUCCUCCAUUGCUGGUACCACAUAAGGGAUACAUUAGUAAAGUAGGGAAAGGGUUAUAUGUGUGGCUGGCCUGUUCUUUAGAGAGGAAGGUGGGAUGGUAUCUGCUGUGUACCUGUCUCAGACCAAACCUGGGGCUGGACCAGUGCCCCUUUCUUCUCAGCCCUCCUCCACAGCCUGACUGUACUGCCAGCCGCACCCAUGAGAAGGAGGUGUGAAGGAAGCCUGAGGACAUCCACCUCGAGAAAAGGAAACAGGAAAACUAUUUCCUUCCGCCUUCUCUGGACCAAAUUUCACUCCCCUCAGCUCCAGAGAGUGCUGCAAAAAUCUUCCUUAGGGACGCUGUGAAGACACGGGGAAGAGGCCAGCCCUGAGCGGGCAAGAAGAAAAGCUUGAACUUUCCAUGCAGUACCAAGCAAGGCUAUUUUGGAAACAAGCAAACAAACAAAAAAUGGAAACCAACACCAUAUAACCACAGGUUGGGUAGCUCCUAAAUCCUGGACAGCAUUUGGAUUGGGGGUAAGGGCAAUUUUACUCCAGCUCCUUGUUUUAUAACCCGCACAAGGUGCCAAGAGGUUUAAGGACCACAACUGACCUCUCUUUCCCUACAAGCACCAUUCCUUGGAUUCCCAGUUUUGUUGAGCUCAUUUGAGGUCAUCCUUGCCAUCCUCUUAAAAAAUGACACAGCCUCUUGGUUAUUCCAUUUUCUAUCCCUUUCUACAAUUAUGAACACACUCUCUAAACAGGAGAUCUAUAUAUGCUCUCAUCCUGCAACCCAAGAGAUUAGGUGACCUAAUGAUGAGAAGGCUAACUUAUUUGCUUUCCUGGGUGGUCCUGAUGGAAAUGAACAGCAGCAGAGUUCUGGUGGGAUAGAGCAGUCUAGUCUGAGCCACUGUGUGAUUCCCCAGGGGACUGGUCCCUGGGUACAUGGGUCCCUGGCUCUCUGUCUCAGUUCCACAGAUAUUACUCAACUUGGCCAUUUACGCCUCAGCUAAAACAUAUGAGCAUGAGGGAAAAGGGACAAGAAAUACUUUUGUCCUCUAGAAAAACUUAACUCAAUACAUCUUGGCUACUUUGCCUCAACCCACGGGGUUCCCUGGAAACAUUUGUUGAACUUGGCCAAGAGGAGAUUGUAUAUGGAUGGCACACCUGGAAAAGGGGAGAAAGCACACUAGUUCAUCUCUUUUAUAAGUAGAAUGGUCCCAGGGAUGUUAACCUUUCUGAUGCUGAUAGUAGAUGAGUGGAGUGGAGGUAAUCGUGAGAAAACUUAAAAACCCUUAAGCUGUUUGGAGACUACACACCACAGUGGAGCAAACCAAGGUGGGGCCUCACUGCCUCCUCAGAGCCCAUCCCUGACCAUGUCAUUGGAUAGGAUGGAAGACAAAGUCUUUGAAAUGGAGGCUGGGCUGGCAAAAGUAAGUAUGAAGAUGCUACUACUGGCCUUCCACUUCCUCUCUCUGAUACACCUAAGAAGGUGAGAGACACUAGCUUCAAUUCCAUUUUACAACAGUUCUCAACAACCUGAAAUAUUCUUGACUUCCUUAAGCACAUGGAAAACUGGUGAUAUCCCAAGUGACACAGAAACACAGCUCCUCCGGAUGGUGAAGUCUCCGCUGCAAAACUCACGAAACAGCACAGAGGAUGACUCUAGGGUGCUCUCCCACUUGCUCCAAGUUAGGCAGGUGCCCUGAUGGAGGCAAGGCUGAGCCAUUAACAUGCACAGCUCCAUAUCCUGGAAGCCUCUGUAGCCUUGAGGAGAUAGGCUCUAUCCAACAGGACUCAGAAUAAAUGACUGCCACCUCAACUGAGCAGUAUGAACUGCCCACCUCAACUGGGCAGUCUGACCUCUUCCACAGUCUUUAAGAAACAGAAGAGCCAUUUGCAUUAUUUAAUCACCAUUCAAUAAUCUCCUCCCUCCCCAUAGCUGCUUGAGUUAACUGUCCCACAAGUGUCCUGUGUUUUGUAAAGAUGAGGGUUAUUUUCUGAAAUGCAGAUGGGACUAGGAUGAAGCUGUAUUAUCAAUUACAGAGACAGCCAACUCUCAUUUCUCUUAAAGCAAAAAUUCAUUCCACUGUGAUUUCUCCAGGUAUUUCCUGCAAUUCUAAAUCCGCCCUUGAUAUUAGAGAAUAUUAAAAUCACACAGUUGUGGCAAAAAUCACAUUGUGGCUAUUAAAUCCUUUUUGUGAACUAAAAAAAGUGAAUGUGGCUUAGGCUAAGCUGUUUUUUUUUUUUUUUUUUUAAAGAUGAGGAUGCGGACUCCAACAAAGGCAUUAAGAAAGUACUAGAUGAAAAUGAGAAAUAUGUGAAGGAUAACAUGUGAAAUGUACACUCAGGUCUAACAAAUACCUAUUAUUUCUCUGGUUAAGAAGGUUUAGCAGGAGCCUCCAAUGAGCACUGUAUGUAGAGAAAAGGGAAGGAGCAGGAGGAGGAACAGAUCUGCACAGAAUUUUUUUCUUAAAAACCACAAAGGGUGACUUUUUUCUUCUAAGCAAGCAAGCCUGAGAGGCAUUACAUGGGCUGGCUCCUAAUAUCAAAACAAAAUAUUUCUUUGCCACAAAGGAACUUGACUAUGUAGCAACACAUUUACAAAACUACUGCAAAACACUCCCAGAGGGCAGUGACCUACUCUGCUCCCCAGAGGCUCCAAGAAGCAAGGCCUCAAGUGCCUCAUGUUCCAUGGGGCUGUGCAGUGCAAUGCAGAAGGCGGAAAUCCUGCUGUGACGCCACCCUCGAGACCUUCUGCAGCCUGAGAGGGGGUGAUACUCCCACACCCUUUGAUCCUUCCAGAUGGCUCAGCCUAGAUCUAGCAGUGAGAGAGCCCUCUCCAUGCAGGGCAGAUGGAGUGGUGGACACUUGUGAAAACAAAACACUAACUGUUCCAUCCUGUUAUAUUUGCUGUGAGGAAAAUUAAGAUUCCUGUUGUAUGGGCUGCACUGUUUCUGGAAGACUACAGAAAAUCUAACAUGGUUGACACUUCCUGGUAGCCCUUCUGUACAUACACACACACACACCCAGAGAGAAGACAGAGAGAAAAUCCUGGUCCAAAAGAUCACAUGACCUUACUAGUGUUUCCCCAAUGACUGUAAUUUAUAAACUAAAAAUUUUUACAAAUCCACUGCUAUCUUCUUCUGUCCUGAGUUUGGUAGACUUUAAUGGAUGCUCCAGCAAUAACCAGAAUCUAGGACAUGCAGACUCACUGUGAGCGAGAGGCUAGGGAUCUGCCCUAAACAUAGGAACCUGUUUCUAUCAAGCCUGAAUGAGGUCAGCUCUGGUAGAAUUAAUGACAAAUCAAUGUCAGUGAAAUAUUCUGCAAACAGGGUAGCUUUUGUGCUUUCUUUUGAUUAUUUUCUUUGGGGAGAUAAAGGUAUUGCAACCAUGGGUCUAACUAAUCUAUCACUAAAGGACUGUGACGACAUUCUCAAUAAAGACAGUCAUGGUGUUUACUGUGCCAAGGAGGGAAAAUCCCAGAUCAUCAGAAUCCCAGUGCAACAGAAAACAGCACCAGUUUCAACAAUUCUGAUGUUGGACAAAGCCUCUUUUUGUCAGUUAAGAAAGCGUAAGCACAAUCUCUCAGUCAAUUGCAUUAACAGGAAUCCAUUCAUGUCACUGAAAAAUACUUCUUGGCACAGUUCACUUUCCUGACCCAAAGACACCAACAACAAUCAAAACUGCACUUUCAGGGUAGUAUAUUGUUACACUAGCCCAGUCAAAACAUACUCAGAACAUUUAAAAAUGUAUAAAUUACUGUUAGCACUGCAGUUCCGUUUUAUUUUCUUAUUUAUUUAUUAAGACAGAGUCUUACUCUGUUGCCCAGGCUGGAGUGCAGUGGCAUGAUCUUGGCUUACUGCAACCUCUGCCUCCCAGGUUUAAGCAAUUCUCAUGCUUCAGCCUACCAAGUAGCUGGGAUUACAGGAGUGCACCAUCAUGCCCAGCUAAUUUUUGUAUUUUAGUAGAGAUGGGGUUUUGCCAUGUUGGUCAGGCUGGUCUCAAACUCCUGGCCUCAAGUGACCCACCUGCCUUGGCCUCCCAAAGUGCUGGGAUUACAGGUGUGAGCCACUACACCCAGCCCUGCAGUCCCUUUUUAAAGAGUACUGACUGUUUUCCUGCAAAGUACUUUCAAAUCCAUACCAUAAAGGUAGAAUUUAUCUGGAAGAAUGUGUUUUUUGAAUUCCACCUGGCACUUGGUUAAAUCUACUUUAUUUUGCCCUUUAUUUAUUUGAACAGAACUUUAGAAUGCUCUAGGUCAGGAAAAGAAACAGUGUGUUCGUUUUUAAGAAGGAUGUGUGAAUAGUAAGUUGGCAUUCAGACUCAAGUCCCAUGGUAUUGUUCUUAUCCAAUGGGACCUCUCCUUGGGAAUAUAAUUCCUUUCCCAGAGGUAUCAUGGUAUCCCAAGAAUAUAACUGCUCUUUGGCUCUGUGUGUGAAGAUUGGGGGAGAGGAUGUAAACUAAG
RNAcentral lists this long non-coding RNA (5258 nucleotides) under Homo sapiens (human). RNAcentral's name for it is "non-protein coding lnc-HMGA1-2:2". Lineage: Eukaryota; Metazoa; Chordata; Mammalia; Primates; Hominidae. The record is from RNAcentral.